GGGGGUGUAUGGGGGGGUAUGGGGACGUAUAGGGGUGUAAGGGGAUGUAUGGGCACAUAUAGAGCCCAUAGGGACAUAUUGGGACAUAUAGGGACGCAUCGGUCCAUAGGGGCACACAGAGCUCUUUGGGGUCUCCUAUUGGGGUCCCAUCGGGGUCUUCUAUGGGUUUCCCAUUGGGGUUUCCUUUUGGGGUCUCCCAUUGGGGUUCUGUUGGGGUCCUCUAUGGGUUUCCUAUUAGGGCCUCCUUUUGGGGUCCUAUUGGGGUCCCAUUGGGGUCCUUUUGGGUUUUGACUGGGGUUCCAUUGGGGUCCUCUAUGGGAUUCCCAUUGAGGUUUCCUAUUGGGGUCUCCAUUGGGGUUCUAUUGCGGUUCUCUAUGGGUUUCCUAUUAGGGCCUCCUUUUGGGAUCCUAUUGAGGUCCUUUUGGGGUCCUUUUGGGUUUUGACUGGGGUUCCAUUGGGGUCCUCUAUGGGUUUCCCAUUGAGGUUUCCUAUUGGGGUCUCCCAUUGGGGUUCUAUUGCGGUCCUCUAUGGGUUUCCUAUUAGGGCCUCAUUUGGGGUCCUAUUGGGGUUCCAUUGGGGUCCUUCAUUGGGGUCCUUUUGGGGUUUGACUGGCGUUCCAUUGGGGUCCUCUAUGGGUUUCCCAUUGAGGUUUCCUAUUGGGGUUCUAUUGGGGUCCUCUAUGGGUUUCCUAUUAGGCCCUCCUUUUGGGGUCCUAUUGGGGUCUCCCAUUGGGGUCCUUUUGGGGUUUGACUCAGGUUCCAUUGGGGUUGCCUAUGGGUUUCCCAUUGAGGUUUCCUAUUGGGGUCUCCUAUUGGGGUUCUAUUGGGGUCCCAUUGGGGUCCUUUUGGGGUUUGACUUGGGUUCUAUUGGGAUACUUUACAGGUUUCCUAUUAGGGCCUCCUUUUGGGGUCUCCCAUUGGGGUCCUAUUGGGGUCUCCCAUUGGGGUCCUUUUGGGGUCCCCUACUGGGGUCCCUCCUCACCCAUAUAGCGGCGCUGUGGGUCCAGUGCCAGCCUUGCAGCCGUUGCCAACCCGAUGCCGGAGGAAGUCCCGGUGAUCAGAACCGUGCGCUGCGUCGGGGCCGCCAUCACCGCUAUGGGGUGGCUGUGGGGUGGUGGGGUCGGUUAUGGGGUGAUGGGGUCAGUUAUGGGGUGAUGGGGUCAGUUA
This 1166-nucleotide long non-coding RNA is filed under the name Phasianus colchicus (ring-necked pheasant). Its description in RNAcentral is "lncRNA (ENSPCLG00000018999.1)". Lineage: Eukaryota; Metazoa; Chordata; Aves; Galliformes; Phasianidae. The record is from RNAcentral.